AUACGGAGGGUGCAAGCGUUACUCGGAAUCACUGGGCGUAAAGCGCGCGCAGGCGGCUUGAUAAGUUGGAUGUGAAAGCCUACGGCUCAACCGUAGAACUGCAUCCAAAACUGUCAAGCUAGAGUCUGGGAGGGGAAGAUGGAAUUAGUUGUGUAGGGGUAAUAUCCGUAGAGAUAACUAGGAAUACCAAAAGCGAAGGCGAUCUUCUGGAACAGUACUGACGCUGAGGCGCGAAAGCGUGGGGAGCAAACAGGAUUAGAUACCCCAGUAGUCC
RNAcentral lists this ribosomal RNA (274 nucleotides) under uncultured bacterium. Its description in RNAcentral is "partial 16S ribosomal RNA". It matches the Rfam family "Bacterial small subunit ribosomal RNA", at positions 523 to 796 of the family's 1533-position model. The record is from RNAcentral.